Molecule: small nuclear RNA, 145 nt
Organism: Neogale vison (American mink)
Lineage: Eukaryota; Metazoa; Chordata; Mammalia; Carnivora; Mustelidae
Gene: U4
Rfam family: U4 spliceosomal RNA
About the family: U4 small nuclear RNA (U4 snRNA) is a component of the major U2-dependent spliceosome.
Source: Ensembl
AGCUUUGCACAGUGGCAGUAUCGUAGCCAAUGAGGUUUAUCCGAGGCACGAUUAUUGCUAAUUGAAAACUUUAAAAUGGGACAUUUAAUGUGAAUAAGAAUAGCAUUUUCAGUUAAAAAAUCUAAGAUCAAAUGACAGAGCUGUC